This 72-nucleotide transfer RNA is filed under the name Camelus bactrianus (Bactrian camel). It matches the Rfam family "tRNA". Rfam says of the family: Transfer RNA (tRNA) molecules are approximately 80 nucleotides in length. Their secondary structure includes four short double-helical elements and three loops (D, anti-codon, and T loops). RNAcentral also lists the same sequence under 2 other names. Lineage: Eukaryota; Metazoa; Chordata; Mammalia; Artiodactyla; Camelidae. The record is from Rfam by way of RNAcentral.
AAGGGUAUAGCUUAGUGGUAGAGCACAUGCCUAGCAUGCCCAAGGUCCUGGGUUCAAUUCCCAGUACCUCCU